This 1620-nucleotide ribosomal RNA is filed under the name Salmonella enterica. Its description in RNAcentral is "partial 23S ribosomal RNA". It matches the Rfam family "Bacterial large subunit ribosomal RNA", at positions 1200 to 2802 of the family's 2925-position model. Lineage: Bacteria; Pseudomonadati; Pseudomonadota; Gammaproteobacteria; Enterobacterales; Enterobacteriaceae. The record is from RNAcentral.
CUGCGGCAGCGACACUAUGUGUUGUUGGGUAGGGGAGCGUUCUGUAAGCCUGUGAAGGUGGCCUGUGAGGGUUGCUGGAGGUAUCAGAAGUGCGAAUGCUGACAUAAGUAACGAUAAAGCGGGUGAAAAGCCCGCUCGCCGGAAGACCAAGGGUUCCUGUCCAACGUUAAUCGGGGCAGGGUGAGUCGACCCCUAAGGCGAGGCCGAAAGGCGUAGUCGAUGGGAAACGGGUUAAUAUUCCCGUACUUGGUGUUACUGCGAAGGGGGGACGGAGAAGGCUAUGUUGGCCGGGCGACGGUUGUCCCGGUUUAAGCGUGUAGGUGUGUGUUCCAGGUAAAUCCGGUUCACUUUAACACUGAGGCGUGAUGACGAGGCACUACGGUGCUGAAGCAACAAAUGCCCUGCUUCCAGGAAAAGCCUCUAAGCAUCAGGUAACAUCAAAUCGUACCCCAAACCGACACAGGUGGUCAGGUAGAGAAUACCAAGGCGCUUGAGAGAACUCGGGUGAAGGAACUAGGCAAAAUGGUGCCGUAACUUCGGGAGAAGGCACGCUGACAUGUAGGUGAAGUGAUUUACUCAUGGAGCUGAAGUCAGUCGAAGAUACCAGCUGGCUGCAACUGUUUAUUAAAAACACAGCACUGUGCAAACACGAAAGUGGACGUAUACGGUGUGACGCCUGCCCGGUGCCGGAAGGUUAAUUGAUGGGGUCAGCGCAAGCGAAGCUCCUGAUCGAAGCCCCGGUAAACGGCGGCCGUAACUAUAACGGUCCUAAGGUAGCGAAAUUCCUUGUCGGGUAAGUUCCGACCUGCACGAAUGGCGUAAUGAUGGCCAGGCUGUCUCCACCCGAGACUCAGUGAAAUUGAACUCGCUGUGAAGAUGCAGUGUACCCGCGGCAAGACGGAAAGACCCCGUGAACCUUUACUAUAGCUUGACACUGAACAUUGAGCCUUGAUGUGUAGGAUAGGUGGGAGGCUUUGAAGUGUGGACGCCAGUCUGCAUGGAGCCGACCUUGAAAUACCACCCUUUAAUGUUUGAUGUUCUAACGUGGACCCGUAAUCCGGGUUGCGGACAGUGUCUGGUGGGUAGUUUGACUGGGGCGGUCUCCUCCUAAAGAGUAACGGAGGAGCACGAAGGUUGGCUAAUCCUGGUCGGACAUCAGGAGGUUAGUGCAAUGGCAUAAGCCAGCUUGACUGCGAGCGUGACGGCGCGAGCAGGUGCGAAAGCAGGUCAUAGUGAUCCGGUGGUUCUGAAUGGAAGGGCCAUCGCUCAACGGAUAAAAGGUACUCCGGGGAUAACAGGCUGAUACCGCCCAAGAGUUCAUAUCGACGGCGGUGUUUGGCACCUCGAUGUCGGCUCAUCACAUCCUGGGGCUGAAGUAGGUCCCAAGGGUAUGGCUGUUCGCCAUUUAAAGUGGUACGCGAGCUGGGUUUAGAACGUCGUGAGACAGUUCGGUCCCUAUCUGCCGUGGGCGCUGGAGAACUGAGGGGGGCUGCUCCUAGUACGAGAGGACCGGAGUGGACGCAUCACUGGUGUUCGGGUUGUCAUGCCAAUGGCACUGCCCGGUAGCUAAAUGCGGAAGAGAUAAGUGCUGAAAGCAUCUAAGCACGAAACUUGCCCCGA